RNAcentral lists this ribosomal RNA (253 nucleotides) under uncultured bacterium. RNAcentral's name for it is "partial 16S ribosomal RNA". It matches the Rfam family "Bacterial small subunit ribosomal RNA", at positions 524 to 776 of the family's 1533-position model. The record is from RNAcentral.
UACGUAGGGACCGAGCGUUGUCCGGAAUCAUGGGGCGUAAAGAGCGUGUAGGCGGCCACUUAAGUCCUGCGUGAAAUCUUGCGGCUCAACCGCAAGCGGUCGUGGGAAACUGGGUGGCUAGAGUGCGGGAGAGGAGAGUGGAAUUCCUGGUGUAGCGGUGGAAUGCGCAGAUAUCAGGAAGAACACCCGUGGCGAAGGCGGCUCUCUGGAACGCAACUGACGCUUAGACGCGAAAGCGUGGGGAGCAAACAGG